RNAcentral lists this unclassified non-coding RNA (583 nucleotides) under Hevea brasiliensis (rubber tree). Lineage: Eukaryota; Viridiplantae; Streptophyta; Magnoliopsida; Malpighiales; Euphorbiaceae. The record is from RNAcentral.
AUCAAGCAGAAAAAGUGGUGGCAGUGGGCCCAUGGUUGCUUUCAAAGAUCAUGCCUUCUAAAAAUGAUGAUGAUGAUGAUCUGCUAAUUUCAUCUUCUGGCAUGUCAAUAUGGAAAAAAUGGGUUCCCAGCCUAUCUGUUAGUGACCUGACCUGUUGCUUAUCAGUUGUUAGGGAUGCUAAAUUUGGUAAUUUGAAUGAGACAAUAGAUGGUGCAAGUGCGAUUUUGUACGUUGUAUCUGAGAGCAUCCCAUGGAACGUACAGAAAGCCCAGUUUCAGAACCUGCUCAUGUCAAUACCUUCUGAUUCCGGCUUGCCCCUCCUGGUCUUAUGUGGCUCUUAUAAUAAAGAGGUUCAAGAUCCUUCCUCCACUAUAGUCAGUGAAUUAGGUCUCCAUGACAUUGAAAAAUCACGGAUAAGUAGCUUUCUGGUUGUUUUUCUUGCUGGAGAUAAAGAGACAGAAUACUCCGAUGCUUUUUUCAGUGAUGAAAAAUUAAGGGAAGGACUACAGUGGCUGGCUAGUGAAUCACCCAUACAACCUGAUAUUCACUGCAUAAGGACUCGUGAACUGAUUCUAACCCGCUU